Molecule: ribosomal RNA, 305 nt
Filed under: uncultured bacterium
Lineage: Bacteria
Description: bacterial SSU rRNA
Rfam family: Bacterial small subunit ribosomal RNA
Source: RNAcentral
CAUCCCCUACGGGAGGCAGCAGUGAGGAAUAUUGGUCAAUGGGCUAAGGCCUGAACCAGCCAAGUCGCGUGAGGGAAGACGGUCCUAUGGAUUGUAAACCUCUUUUGUCGGGGAGCAACGAGGCCACGUGUGGCCGAAGUGAGAGUGCCCGAAGAAAAAACAUCGGCUAACUCCGUGCCAGCAGCCGCGGUAAUACGGAGGAUGCGAGCGUUAUCCGGAUUUAUUGGGUUUAAAGGGUGCGUAGGCGGGCUUUUAAGUCAGCGGUAAAAAUUCGGGGCUCAACCCCGUCCGGCCGUUGAAACUGG